GAAUUCGCCCUUAGAGUUUGAUCCUGGCUCAGGACGAACGCUGGCGGCGCGCCUAACACAUGCAAGUCGAACGAGCGAGAGAGAGCUUGCUUUCUCGAGCGAGUGGCGAACGGGUGAGUAACGCGUGAGGAACCUGCCUCAAAGAGGGGGACAACAGUUGGAAACGACUGCUAAUACCGCAUAAGCCCCACAGGUCGGCAUCGACCAGAGGGAAAAGGAGCAAUCCGCUUUGAGAUGGCCUCGCGUCCGAUUAGCUAGUUGGUGAGGUAACGGCCCACCAAGGCAACGAUCGGUAGCCGGACUGAGAGGUUGAACGGCCACAUUGGGACUGAGACACGGCCCAGACUCCUACGGGAGGCAGCAGUGGGGAAUAUUGCACAAUGGGGGAAACCCUGAUGCAGCGACGCCGCGUGGAGGAAGAAGGUCUUCGGAUUGUAAACUCCUGUUGUUGAGGAAGAUAAUGACGGUACUCAACAAGGAAGUGACGGCUAACUACGUGCCAGCAGCCGCGGUAAAACGUAGGUCACAAGCGUUGUCCGGAAUUACUGGGUGUAAAGGGAGCGCAGGCGGGAAGACAAGUUGGAAGUGAAAUCUAUGGGCUCAACCCAUAAACUGCUUUCAAAACUGUUUUUCUUGAGUAGUGCAGAGGUAGGCGGAAUUCCCGGUGUAGCGGUGGAAUGCGUAGAUAUCGGGAGGAACACCAGUGGCGAAGGCGGCCUACUGGGCACCAACUGACGCUGAGGCUCGAAAGUGUGGGUAGCAAACAGGAUUAGAUACCCUGGUAGUCCACACCGUAAACGAUGAUUACUAGGUGUUGGAGGAUUGACCCCUUUCAGUGCCGCAGUUAACACAAUAAGUAAUCCACCUGGGGAGUACGACCGCAAGGUUGAAACUCAAAGGAAUUGACGGGGGCCCGCACAAGCAGUGGAGUAUGUGGUUUAAUUCGACGCAACGCGAAGAACCUUACCAAGUCUUGACAUCCUGCGACGCACAUAGAAAUAUGUGUUUCCUUCGGGACGCAGAGACAGGUGGUGCAUGGUUGUCGUCAGCUCGUGUCGUGAGAUGUUGGGUUAAGUCCCGCAACGAGCGCAACCCUUACUGUCAGUUACUACGCAAGAGGACUCUGGCAGGACUGCCGUUGACAAAACGGAGGAAGGUGGGGAUGACGUCAAAUCAUCAUGCCCUUUAUGACUUGGGCUACACACGUACUACAAUGGCGUUAAACAAAGAGAAGCAAGACCGCGAGGUGGAGCAAAACUCAGAAACAACGUCCCAGUUCGGACUGCAGGCUGCAACUCGCCUGCACGAAGUCGGAAUUGCUAGUAAUCGUGGAUCAGCAUGCCACGGUGAAUACGUUCCCGGGCCUUGCACUCACCGCCCGUCA
RNAcentral lists this ribosomal RNA (1384 nucleotides) under uncultured bacterium. RNAcentral describes it as "bacterial SSU rRNA". It matches the Rfam family "Bacterial small subunit ribosomal RNA". The record is from RNAcentral.